Molecule: non-coding RNA, 115 nt
Filed under: Protocruzia adhaerens
Lineage: Eukaryota; Ciliophora; Spirotrichea
Source: RNAcentral
GAGAAAAAAAAAAAAGACAAAAAUGUCAAAGAGUUUCAUCCGAUUAUUCCACUUUUCAUCUCUCGAACCUAGACUUGAACCUAAUUUUUCUUCUACUGUUGCUUUGAUUGUGUUC